RNAcentral lists this small RNA (18 nucleotides) under Arabidopsis thaliana (thale cress). Its description in RNAcentral is "ATSL145290". Lineage: Eukaryota; Viridiplantae; Streptophyta; Magnoliopsida; Brassicales; Brassicaceae. The record is from RNAcentral.
UUUCCUUAUAUGCUAUGU